This 371-nucleotide ribosomal RNA is filed under the name uncultured bacterium. RNAcentral's name for it is "bacterial SSU rRNA". It matches the Rfam family "Bacterial small subunit ribosomal RNA", at positions 525 to 896 of the family's 1533-position model. The record is from RNAcentral.
ACGUAGGGUGCAAGCGUUAAUCGGAAUUACUGGGCGUAAAGCGUGCGCAGGCGGUUUUGUAAGUUUGUCGUGAAAGCCCCGGGCUCAACCUGGGAAUUGCGAUGAAGACUGCAAGGCUUGAAUCUGGCAGAGGGGGGUAGAAUUCCACGUGUAGCAGUGAAAUGCGUAGAGAUGUGGAGGAACACCGAUGGCGAAGGCAGCCCCCUGGGUCAAGAUUGACGCUCAUGCACGAAAGCGUGGGGAGCAAACAGGAUUAGAUACCCUGGUAGUCCACGCCCUAAACGAUGUCUACUAGUUGUCGGGUUUUAAUUAACUUGGUAACGCAGCUAACGCGUGAAGUAGACCGCCUGGGGAGUACGGUCGCAAGAUUA